GAAUUCUCUUAGCUUUUGCUUGUCUGUAAAGCUUUUGAUUUCUCCAUCAAAUCAGCUCGGUGGUUUGUGGCCACCUGGAGGGGUGGGAUAGGGAGGGCGGGAGGGAGGGAGAUGCAAGAGGGAAGAGAUAUGGGAACAUAUGUAUAACUGAUUCACUUUGUUAUAAAGCAGAAACUAACACACCAUUGUAAAGCAAUUAUAUUCCAAUAAAGAUGUUAAAAAAAAAGAAGAUAU
Molecule: long non-coding RNA, 234 nt
Organism: Orcinus orca (killer whale)
Lineage: Eukaryota; Metazoa; Chordata; Mammalia; Artiodactyla; Delphinidae
Exons: 2
Source: RefSeq, a predicted model, not a curated record